CCGAGUGCACUACACUUUCAUAAUUGGUCGGGCUAAUUUGUGGCCGCCAUUAAAUUUCACGAAGAUUGCUUCCCUCUGAGAUUAUUUAUGUCGGUAUUAUGCAAUCGUGAAAACUCUACCAAAUUGUUUAUACAACGGGGUGUAUUGACGCAUUUAAUUUUGUUUUUUUUAUUCCGGGUAAAUUUUAGGAUGAGAAUAGUCGCAGUCCCUAUUUUUUUUAUGACUGAUGCCAAUGAAGAAGGAAAGUACAGAGGAAUUCAAAAGUGUCAGACCAACUCAGAAGACUGUUAGAAGCAUAAAAAUGAAUUCAGAUGUUUUUCAAGCCUUUUUUGAGAAAAAACCAAACUGUCAAUUUCAAUAUUACCACGUCUCUGAUCUAUGUCGCAAGAUCUGCCGUUUUCGCUAACUAAACUCAAGAAAACAUUAUCUUAACGGCCAAAAACUAAUCUGUGGAAAAAAGCUCAAACAAAUUUUUUCUAGGAACUUUUAACUCAGUUGGAUGUCCUUUAUCACCACCCAAGAGAUGG
Molecule: long non-coding RNA, 527 nt
Organism: Tribolium madens (black flour beetle)
Lineage: Eukaryota; Metazoa; Arthropoda; Insecta; Coleoptera; Tenebrionidae
Exons: 3
Source: RefSeq, a predicted model, not a curated record